RNAcentral lists this ribosomal RNA (112 nucleotides) under Pseudoalteromonas sp. SR45-6. Its description in RNAcentral is "partial 16S ribosomal RNA". It matches the Rfam family "Bacterial small subunit ribosomal RNA", at positions 1 to 104 of the family's 1533-position model. RNAcentral also lists the same sequence under 1 other name. The record is from RNAcentral. Lineage: Bacteria; Pseudomonadati; Pseudomonadota; Gammaproteobacteria; Alteromonadales; Pseudoalteromonadaceae.
UUAAUUGAAGAGUUUGAUCAUGGCUCAGAUUGAACGCUGGCGGCAGGCCUAACACAUGCAAGUCGAGCGGUAACAGAGAGUAGCUUGCUACUUUGCUGACGAGCGGCGGACG